CAUGGCUCAGGAUGAACGCUAGCGGGAGGCCUAACACAUGCAAGCCGAGCGGUAUAGAUCUUUCGGGAUCUAGAGAGCGGCGCACGGGUGCGGAACACGUGUGCAACCUACCUUUAUCAGGGGGAUAGCCUUUCGAAAGGAAGAUUAAUACCCCAUAAUAUAUUUGAUGGCAUCAUUAGAUAUUGAAAACUCCGGUGGAUAGAGAUGGGCACGCGCAAGAUUAGAUAGUUGGUGAGGUAACGGCUCACCAAGUCAAUGAUCUUUAGGGGGCCUGAGAGGGUGAUCCCCCACACUGGUACUGAGACACGGACCAGACUCCUACGGGAGGCAGCAGUGAGGAAUAUUGGACAAUGGGUGAGAGCCUGAUCCAGCCAUCCCGCGUGAAGGAUGACGGCCCUAUGGGUUGUAAACUUCUUUUGUAUAGGGAUAAACCUACCCUCGUGAGGGUAGCUGAAGGUACUAUACGAAUAAGCACCGGCUAACUCCGUGCCAGCAGCCGCGGUAAUACGGAGGGUGCAAGCGUUAUCCGGAUUUAUUGGGUUUAAAGGGUCCGUAGGCGGACUCGUAAGUCAGUGGUGAAAUCUCAUAGCUUAACUAUGAAACUGCCAUUGAUACUGCGGGUCUUGAGUAAGGUAGAGGUAGCUGGAAUAAGUAGUGUAGCGGUGAAAUGCAUAGAUAUUACUUAGAACACCAAUUGCGAAGGCAGGUUACCAUGUCUUAACUGACGCUGAUGGACGAAAGCGUGGGGAGCGAACAGGAUUAGAUACCCUGGUAGUCCACGCCGUAAACGAUGCUAACUCGUUUUUGGGUUUUCGGAUUCAGAGACUAAGCGAAAGUGAUAA
This 842-nucleotide ribosomal RNA is filed under the name Chryseobacterium proteolyticum. RNAcentral describes it as "bacterial SSU rRNA". It matches the Rfam family "Bacterial small subunit ribosomal RNA", at positions 18 to 863 of the family's 1533-position model. The record is from RNAcentral. Lineage: Bacteria; Pseudomonadati; Bacteroidota; Flavobacteriia; Flavobacteriales; Weeksellaceae.